The sequence is a non-coding RNA, 180 nucleotides long. It matches the Rfam family "6S / SsrS RNA". From Rfam's summary of the family: E. coli 6S RNA was the first non coding RNA to be sequenced, but its function was unknown until recently. It consists of 184 nucleotides that fold into an extended hairpin structure with a large single-stranded internal bulge. The record is from Rfam.
AUUAUCCUGAGAUGUUCGUAGGAAUUGUUUACUUUGAGCCAACACCUUAAAAAAGGGAGCUUGCCGUUAUUGGCUCGCUUACAUGCCCCGCAAGCUGGGGACGUAAAAAGGCCAAUGCGAAGCACCCACCUGCCUUGCAGGUUCAAAGCACCAAGUUCUUACGGCAUAGUCGGGAUAAUU